UGCAGUCGAGCGAACAGACGAGGAGCUUGCUCCUCUGACGUUAGCGGCGGACGGGUGAGUAACACGUGGAUAACCUACCUAUAAGACUGGGAUAACUUCGGGAAACCGGAGCUAAUACCGGAUAAUAUAUUGAACCGCAUGGUUCAAUAGUGAAAGACGGUUUUGCUGUCACUUAUAGAUGGAUCCGCGCCGCAUUAGCUAGUUGGUAAGGUAACGGCUUACCAAGGCAACGAUGCGUAGCCGACCUGAGAGGGUGAUCGGCCACACUGGAACUGAGACACGGUCCAGACUCCUACGGGAGGCAGCAGUAGGGAAUCUUCCGCAAUGGGCGAAAGCCUGACGGAGCAACGCCGCGUGAGUGAUGAAGGUCUUCGGAUCGUAAAACUCUGUUAUUAGGGAAGAACAAAUGUGUAAGUAACUAUGCACGUCUUGACGGUACCUAAUCAGAAAGCCACGGCUAACUACGUGCCAGCAGCCGCGGUAAUACGUAGGUGGCAAGCGUUAUCCGGAAUUAUUGGGCGUAAAGCGCGCGUAGGCGGUUUUUUAAGUCUGAUGUGAAAGCCCACGGCUCAACCGUGGAGGGUCAUUGGAAACUGGAAAACUUGAGUGCAGAAGAGGAAAGUGGAAUUCCAUGUGUAGCGGUGAAAUGCGCAGAGAUAUGGAGGAACACCAGUGGCGAAGGCGACUUUCUGGUCUGUAACUGACGCUGAUGUGCGAAAGCGUGGGGAUCAAACAGGAUUAGAUACCCUGGUAGUCCACGCCGUAAACGAUGAGUGCU
This 778-nucleotide ribosomal RNA is filed under the name Staphylococcus epidermidis. RNAcentral describes it as "bacterial SSU rRNA". It matches the Rfam family "Bacterial small subunit ribosomal RNA", at positions 56 to 817 of the family's 1533-position model. The record is from RNAcentral. Lineage: Bacteria; Bacillati; Bacillota; Bacilli; Caryophanales; Staphylococcaceae.